AAAACCGUACCACUUUCG
This 18-nucleotide ribosomal RNA is filed under the name Laminaria yezoensis. RNAcentral's name for it is "partial large subunit ribosomal RNA". Lineage: Eukaryota; Phaeophyceae; Laminariales; Laminariaceae. The record is from RNAcentral.